RNAcentral lists this ribosomal RNA (496 nucleotides) under uncultured bacterium. Its description in RNAcentral is "partial 16S ribosomal RNA". It matches the Rfam family "Bacterial small subunit ribosomal RNA", at positions 29 to 507 of the family's 1533-position model. The record is from RNAcentral.
AUGAACGCUGGCGGCGUGCCUAAUACAUGCCAGUCGAGCGAACAGACGAGGAGCUUGCUCCUCUGACGUUAGCGGCGGACGGGUGAGUAACACGUGGAUAACCUACCUAUAAGACUGGGAUAACUUCGGGAAACCGGAGCUAAUACCGGAUAAUAUAUUGAACCGCAUGGUUCAAUAGUGAAAGACGGUUUUGCUGUCACUUAUAGAUGGAUCCGCGCCGCAUUAGCUAGUUGGUAAGGUAACGGCUUACCAAGGCAACGAUGCGUAGCCGACCUGAGAGGGUGAUCGGCCACACUGGAACUGAGACACGGUCCAGACUCCUACGGGAGGCAGCAGUAGGGAAUCUUCCGCAAUGGGCGAAAGCCUGACGGAGCAACGCCGCGUGAGUGAUGAAGGUCUUCGGAUCGUAAAACUCUGUUAUUAGGGAAGAACAAAUGUGUAAGUAACUAUGCCCGUCUUGACGGUACCUAAUCAGAAAGCCACGGCUAACUACGUG